RNAcentral lists this ribosomal RNA (465 nucleotides) under uncultured bacterium. RNAcentral describes it as "partial 16S ribosomal RNA". It matches the Rfam family "Bacterial small subunit ribosomal RNA", at positions 28 to 507 of the family's 1533-position model. The record is from RNAcentral.
GACGAACGCUGGCGGCGUGCUUAACACAUGCAAGUCGAACGGAAAGGCCCUGCUUGCAGGGUACUCGAGUAGCGAACGGGUGAGGAACACGUGGGUGAUCUUCCCUGCACUUCGGGAUAAGCCUGGGAAACUGGGUCUAAUACCGGAAAGGAGCCAUCUUUAGUGUGUUGGUUGGAAAGUUUUUUCGGUGUAGGAUGGGCUGGCGGCCUAGCAGCUUGUUGGUGGGGUAAUGGCCUACCAAGGCGGCGACGGGUAGCGGGCCUGGGAGGGUGGACGGCCACAUUGGGGCUGAGAUCCGGCCCAGACUCCUACGGGAGGCAGCAGUGGGGAAUAUUGCACAAGGGGCGCAAGCGUGAUGCAGCGACGCCGCGUGGGGGAUGACGGCCUUCGGGUUGUAAACGCCUUUCGCUAGGGACGAAGCGUUUUGUGACGGUACCUAGAUAAGAAGCACCGGCUAACUACGUG